Molecule: transfer RNA, 71 nt
Filed under: Heterocephalus glaber (naked mole-rat)
Lineage: Eukaryota; Metazoa; Chordata; Mammalia; Rodentia; Bathyergidae
Rfam family: tRNA
About the family: Transfer RNA (tRNA) molecules are approximately 80 nucleotides in length. Their secondary structure includes four short double-helical elements and three loops (D, anti-codon, and T loops).
Source: Rfam by way of RNAcentral
UAGGGUGUAGCUCAGUGGUAGAGCAUGAGCUCAGAAUGCACAAGGCUCUGGUUCAAUCUCCAGCACUGCAA